RNAcentral lists this ribosomal RNA (519 nucleotides) under uncultured bacterium. RNAcentral's name for it is "bacterial SSU rRNA". It matches the Rfam family "Bacterial small subunit ribosomal RNA", at positions 18 to 518 of the family's 1533-position model. The record is from RNAcentral.
UAUGGCUCAGAUUGAACGCUGGCGGCGUGCUUAACACAUGCAAGUCGUGCGAGAAAGGGGGCUUCGGUCCCUGAGUAGAGCGGCGCGACGGGUGAGUAACGCGUGGAUUAUCUACCCAGAUAUUCGGGAUAACGGCGGGAAACUGCCGCUAAUACCGGAUACGCUCCAAUUUCGGUUGGGGGAAAGGCGGCCUCUGCUUGCAAGCUGUCGUAUCUGGAUGAGUCCGCGUCCCAUUAGCUUGUUGGCGGGGUAACGGCCCACCAAGGCUACGAUGGGUAGCUGGUCUGAGAGGAUGAUCAGCCACACUGGAACUGAAACACGGUCCAGACUCCUACGGGAGGCAGCAGUGGGGAAUAUUGCGCAAUGGGGGAAACCCUGACGCAGCGACGCCGUGUGAGGGAAGAAGGCUUUCGGGUCGUAAACCUCUGUCGGGAGGGAAGAACCUUCCAGGUCUGAACAAGGCCUGGAACUGACGGUACCUCCAAAGGAAGCACCGGCUAACUCCGUGCCAGCAGCUGC